UCUUUCUGUGAGCUGCAAAGGGACUUGGGGAGACCAUGCCGUCAGGAGAGAGAGCGGGAGGGAGAGAGAUAGGGAUUUGGUAAGGGGAGACAUGCGGCUUGCAGCGAUCCACUCUGUUGGCAUCUCCCUAUAACCGAGUAGCUUGGUUUGGAUCGGGCGAUUCCGGAGGCCCUGCCAUCGAGCGUCAAGGGGGAAGAAGCGAAAGAAUGACUCUGUCUGUAAGAUGGGUUUCUGUAAUGCAAAUUUCAUGAUGUUCAUAACGCUGAUUUGAUUCUCUCAUAAGAAAGGAUCUCCUCUCUGGCUUUCUGGGCCAAGUCAUCGAAGCUCUCUCUAGAGAGAAAGUGGCAGCAGUAGUGGGGAAGGAAGAAGGACUAUUCAUGUUUCUAUUAUCAUUUUUGCCAUUCGAAGCUCUGGGGUUUGGCUUUGGCUCUGUUAGCUGUUGAGUGUGUCAGGAAAUGAGUUCAACCAUGGAUUCAUAUACAUUGAAGUCCACAUCAAAUUUGUCUGCUCUCUGACCUGAUUGAGUGAGGGAGGAGGGAUACAGCGCAGAGAGAAUAUGACGGAAAUUGAGGAGGAAGCCCAAGCUUUCAGAGAGUUAGUGAGAUCUGAAGCCCAUGCCUGGAUGAACUGAUUUAAUUUGAGCACACAGAGCUCAAAUCUGGUGUUCAAAAAUAAGGCGGAGGCCACAAAGUUCUCAAAUCCAAGAUGAAAAGUGCAGUUUGGCAUAUCAAAUCAACCUGCUGCUUUCUUGGGACUCUAAUUCUUAGUUUUUUGUUCUUUUGAUGCAUUUGCUGCUAUGAUCUUCUAACUGCUGAAGUUUCUUCAGUCUGGAAUUCAGACAGGCAGGAUGCGGAUACUUCUGACUUUAUCGAGGAAUUUAGUAGUCCCCAUCAUCAUCAGUUUGUCUGCUAUUGCAGUUAGAGAAGCAUUCCACAGAAGAAGGCGGGGUUACACCUUCAGUUUAUUCGUGCAAAGAACCAGUAUGUCCAAAAAUAUAUGUUACUCGAUUCUUAAAAACUUUAUGGCAUGACAAAAUAAAUUUACAAAUUGCUAAUUUUUCUGUUUUGUAUAAAAUCUUUGUUCACUCUACCUGAAUAGGUACACAUGUUAAGUUUUCUUUCAUCUUAUCUUUGGCACAGAAAGCACCAUCAAAAUUUAACCCUUUUUUUUUUUUUUUCAUUCGGCUGUUGAGGAAGGGAUUGUUGUUGGUGGAUGAAACCUUUAGGUAAUUAUCUGUUGCUUAUUGAACUCCCCCAAUCAUGAGUUUUGACUCGGAAGAAGAUUUUGAUGAUGACAGAUACUGAAUUAAAUUUUGGCUCAAAUUGUAUUGAAAAUUGCAGUUCGGAGCAAUUUUUAUGAGGAAGAAGGAUGAGUCCCAAACAUAUGUAUGAAUUUAGUCAAUUUCUACAUGCUCCAUUCAGUAGAUGAAUUGUAAACAUAUGAAUUUCAAGCAUCUGAAUUGAAUAGAUGCUUUUAAUUCUUCUCUCAUCUAAACCUUAGAUUUUUCUGCAAUUUUAUUUCUAUGUUGUUUAUAUCAUUGUUGUUUGAAUAUAUGGUUAAACUUAUUUCAUUAAUUCUUGAUGCCGUGUGUUGAUAAUCCUGGAAAGGUAGGGGUGCGAUGGUCAUUUUAGUCUGUAGGGUUUUGAACGGAUUGGGUGGGUUAGGGAGACUUUCAUUUCCUUUCUUUCUAUGAGCUGCAGAGGGACUUGGUGAAAGCAUGCUGUCAGGAGAGAGAGCAGGAGGGAUAGAGAUAGGGAUUUGGUGAGAGGAAGGCAUGCGGCUUGCAGAGAGGAGGAGGGGAGAGAGAUGGGGAGGAAGGAAGAGUGAGAGCGAUAGGGAUUUGGUAAGGGGAAGAAAUACGACUUGCAGGUAGACAAAGUCAUAAGGGUGUACGAUUCAAGAGAGAGAGAGAUAGGAGAUUGAGUCGUUGCAUCACUCUCACUACCUGCACUCUUGAGCCAUGAAGGCCUAAGAUUGAGGACAAAGGCCAUGGUUGCACAGAAUAACUGAGAUUUGAAGCCCAUGACAGCCUCAGCUGAUUGAGCGAUUGAAGCCUUUUGUUGCUGGGAGAUCGUUUAGAGUUUGAGUCUACUGAGUUCUGUGGAUUCACUCAACUGCAAUCAUCUCUUCUGCAAGUAAUCUCUACCUUCAUUGUUAUUCACAUAUGAAUGUUAGGUUUUAUUUGGAUGUAUUAAUUGUCAUUGGCAGUACUAUAAAAAACAAUCUUUCUGCAUUAUUCUAGGUUUAAUAUCUAGCUUUUUAGUUGUAUAUUACUUAUAUGGGUCUUUAACUACAAUAUCAAAUUUCUUACCUUUUUUCAUGUUUUUACUUUUAACUUACUGAUAUUUAUUUUAGAAUGUGGAAUUCUAUCUAAUAUUUGUUUAUUUCCUGACUGUCUUAAUCCCUCACUGUCUCUAGAUUUUAAAUUUUGGUAAGAACCAUGAAAAUGACUGAAAAGCAUGAUGUUGUUUUCGAAAUACAUAUUAGUAUCCCCUUCUCACCCAAAUGCCAAAAUCAGGUGGCUUGAUUUGAGGUGUUUUAAGAUAUUGUAAUUGAAUGAACAAUUAGGUUACACUUUAACAAAAAUGUGUAAAAAGGGUUGAUAACCACAUCUUUAAUAGAGAAGUACUAUUUUGUCUUUGAUAGUUGUCAACAGAUUUGUGGCUGAGUCAAUAACAUGCUCUGAGUCUGGAAUCUUUGCUCCUCUUUUGCAUUACCAAAAUUUGUUUCAUGUAGCUUGGGAAGAAAAUUUUGAGCAUGGGUGCAAGAUCGUUUACAUGUAAGACCAUUUGCUCAUGCAAUUUGGGAUGCUCAUUUUGCAAUCCCACAAUAGAAAAAAAGUUUAAAGUCUUAAUUGAAAACGUUAAUUCCCAGCCAUUUAUAACAGGAUAGCUUUUUAAGUGUGAAUAAUCAUAUUGUUUGUUACACAUUGUUGUAUAACCAUUUGUGUUGAAGAUUAGCACUAAACAAGUUAUGUAAAUCCAAUCAACUCUUUACAUAUAGAAGGUUCUGCAAAUAUAACUAAGCUACCAACUAAUACUUAGUAGUCAAAGUACUCCAAUGUUUGGAGUCAUCGGUAAAAUAGGAGCAACUAUAUUUUGGGCAUCUCUUAAUAUGUAUAUAAUAUCAGUGUACAUAGUCAAGCUAUAAACUACUACUUUAUACUUUAUACAAACCCUAAACCCUUCUGAGUUCCCACAUAUUUUCAUUGUUUCAUUUAUACAUCUAUUGGAGGAUUGGAGAGGAUUGAGAGGCAGAUGAGUGAGACUUCUGAUGGUUACACAGAAAUAAAUGGUCUCUUGCAUCUUGAACCAGAUUACUCUGGGUUUGGCAGUAACGUUGAUUGUUAAAAACACUGGUGGUGCUUCUGUUUUCCACAAUGUAAGCCCAAGAUUAUGCGAUGGUGCUCAAUUUGGAUUUAUUGCAUGGCUAGAAAUAUGAUCUUGCAGUAAGUGUUGAAGACAGUUAUAUGCCAAGCACCGUAGAUUUUUUCGAGGAGCUUUCUCAGUUUGUUGUCAAGGCUGGUUCAAUUUUAAGUAAUAUUUAUGGUGUAGAUUGGGAAAACAAACUUGAGGUAUCAAUUUUUCAAAGAUAGUUUAUGCUUGAAAUUAGCCCUGUUUUUAUAUCUUUCAACAUUCUGUUUUUUUUGGAGUUACUAUGUGCUUGAAAACUUGCUGAAACAACAAUGGAACAGUUUUUUUGUUUUUUGUUAACUGCUGAAACAGGUGCCAGGCCUACAGGCCAUAUAUUUUGCCACCUUAACUGUAAGGGCAAAAUAUGUGUGGACUGCAUCUUGCUUCUGUUUCUUACGGAAAUAGGCGUCCUGCAUUUUUUUUUCUUUGAACAUUAGUGCUUGAAAGCUUAGCUGCUGAAACAAAAACAGAACACUUUUAAUAUUUUUUGUUAACUGCUAAAACAGGCGGCUGGCCUGCAGAAUAUAUAGUUUGCCAUCUUAACUUCAGAGGCAAUAUAUGUGUGAACUGCAUGUUGCUUCUGUUUCUUAUGGAAAGAGGAAUUUUUGCAACCACAUCUUCUGUAAUCAAGAACGUUCAACUUCGUCCUGUUAAUUGUACAAUGCCUUUUCAUAUCA
This is a long non-coding RNA of Pyrus x bretschneideri (Chinese white pear), 4090 nucleotides long. RefSeq lists it as uncharacterized. The record is from RefSeq and is a predicted model, not a curated record. NCBI's taxonomy places the organism in Eukaryota, Viridiplantae, Streptophyta, Magnoliopsida, Rosales, Rosaceae. The transcript has 13 exons.